Molecule: ribosomal RNA, 497 nt
Filed under: uncultured bacterium
Lineage: Bacteria
Description: partial 16S ribosomal RNA
Rfam family: Bacterial small subunit ribosomal RNA
Source: RNAcentral
GAUGAACGCUGGCGGCGUGCCUAAUACAUGCAAGUAGAACGCUGAAGGAAGGAGCUUGCUCUUUCCGGAUGAGUUGCGAACGGGUGAGUAACGCGUAGAUAACCUGCCUGGUAGCGGGGGAUAACUAUUGGAAACGAUAGCUAAUACCGCAUAACAGUAGAUGUUGCAUGACAACUAUUUGAAAGGGGCAAUUGCUCCACUACCAGAUGGACCUGCGUUGUAUUAGCUAGUUGGUGAGGUAACGGCUCACCAAGGCGACGAUACAUAGCCGACCUGAGAGGGUGAUCGGCCACACUGGGACUGAGACACGGCCCAGACUCCUACGGGAGGCAGCAGUAGGGAAUCUUCGGCAAUGGACGGAAGUCUGGCCGAGCAACGCCGCGUGAGUGAAGAAGGUUUUCGGAUCGUAAAGCUCUGUUGUAAGAGAAGAACGAGUGUGAGAGUGGAAAGUUCACACUGUGACGGUAUCUUACCAGAAAGGGACGGCUAACUACGUG